RNAcentral lists this ribosomal RNA (465 nucleotides) under uncultured bacterium. RNAcentral's name for it is "partial 16S ribosomal RNA". It matches the Rfam family "Bacterial small subunit ribosomal RNA", at positions 338 to 795 of the family's 1533-position model. The record is from RNAcentral.
CCUACGGGGGCAGCAGUGAGGAAUAUUGGUCAAUGGGCGAGAGCCUGAACCAGCCAAGUCGCGUGAAGGAUGAAGGAUCUAUGGUUUGUAAACUUCUGUCAGCAGGGAAGAACGGUCACUGUGCUAAUCAGCAGUGAAUUGACGGUACCUGCAAAGGAAGCACCGGCUAACUCCGUGCCAGCAGCCGCGGUAAUACGGGGGGUGCGAGCGUUAAUCGGAAUUACUGGGCGUAAAGCGCUCGUAGGCGGUAUGUCAAGUCAAGGGUGAAAUCCCCGCGGUCAACGUGGGAACUGCCUUUGAAACUGGUAAACUGGAGUGUGUGAGAGGAUAGUGGAAUUCCAGGUGUAGGAGGGAAAUCCGUAGAUAUCUGGAGGAACAUCAGUGGCGAAGGCGACUAUCUGGCACAUAACUGACGCUGAGGAGCGAAAGCGUGGGUAGCAAACAGGAUUAGAUACCCUAGUAGUC